RNAcentral lists this ribosomal RNA (915 nucleotides) under uncultured archaeon. RNAcentral's name for it is "bacterial SSU rRNA". It matches the Rfam family "Archaeal small subunit ribosomal RNA", at positions 1 to 922 of the family's 1478-position model. The record is from RNAcentral.
UUCCGGUUGAUCCUGCCGGAAGCUACUGCUAUUGGGAUUCGACUAAGCCAUGCGAGUCAAGGUGUCUUCGGACGCCGGCAUACGGCUCAGUAACACGUAGGUAACCUACCCUCAGGACCGAGAUACCCCCGGGAAACUGGGGUUAAUAUCGGAUAGGUAAAAGACACUGGAAUGUUCUUUUAUCUAAAGCUUUUGCGCCUGAGGAUGGGCCUGCGCCCGAUUAGGUUGUUGGUGGGGUAAUGGCCCACCAAGCCUGCGAUCGGUACGGGCAGUGGGAGCUGUAGCCCGGAGUUGGGGACUUAGACAAGGCCCCAGGCCCUACGGGGCGCAGCAGGCGCGAAACCUCUGCAAUGCGGGAAACCGUGACAGGGGGAUCCCAAGUGCUCAUGCAUUGCAUGGGCUGUUCUUUGGUCUAAGUAACCAGAGGAGUAAGGGCUGGGCAAGACCGGUGCCAGCCGCCGCGGUAAUACCGGCAGCUCAAGUGGUAGCCGCGAUUAUUGGGCCUAAAGCGUUCGUAGCCGGAUAAGUAAGUCUUUGGUUAAAUCCUGCGACUUAACCGUGGGAAAUCUAGAGAUACUGCUCAUCUUGAGACCGGGAGAGGUUGGAGGUACUCCUAGGGUAGGGGUAAAAUCCUGUAAUCCUAGGGGGACCACCUGUGGCGAAGGCGUCCAACUGGAACGGGUCUGACGGUGAGGGACGAAACCUAGGGGAGCGAGCCGGAUUAGAUACCCGGGUAGUCCUAGGCGUAAAUGAUGCGAGUUAAGUGUGGGGGCAUCUACGAGAUGGCCCUGUGCUGUAGGGUAGCCGUUAAACUCGCCGCCUGGGGAGUACGGUCGCAAGGCUGAAACUUAAAGGAAUUGGCGGGGGAGCACCACAAGAGGUGGAGGCUGCGGUUCAAUUGGAGUCAACGCCGGG